RNAcentral lists this ribosomal RNA (2899 nucleotides) under Klebsiella pneumoniae. RNAcentral's name for it is "Bacterial large subunit ribosomal RNA". It matches the Rfam family "Bacterial large subunit ribosomal RNA". The record is from RNAcentral. Lineage: Bacteria; Pseudomonadati; Pseudomonadota; Gammaproteobacteria; Enterobacterales; Enterobacteriaceae.
GUUAAGCGACUAAGCGUACACGGUGGAUGCCCUGGCAGUCAGAGGCGAUGAAGGACGUGCUAAUCUGCGAAAAGCGUCGGUAAGGUGAUAUGAACCGUUAUAACCGGCGAUGUCCGAAUGGGGAAACCCAGUGCAAUUCGUUGCACUAUCGUUAACUGAAUACAUAGGUUAACGAGGCGAACCGGGGGAACUGAAACAUCUAAGUACCCCGAGGAAAAGAAAUCAACCGAGAUUCCCCCAGUAGCGGCGAGCGAACGGGGAGCAGCCCAGAGUCUGAAUCAGCUUGUGUGUUAGUGGAACGGUCUGGAAAGUCCGACGGUACAGGGUGAUAGUCCCGUACACCAAAAUGCACAGGCUGUGAACUCGAAGAGUAGGGCGGGACACGUGGUAUCCUGUCUGAAUAUGGGGGGACCAUCCUCCAAGGCUAAAUACUCCUGACUGACCGAUAGUGAACCAGUACCGUGAGGGAAAGGCGAAAAGAACCCCGGCGAGGGGAGUGAAAAAGAACCUGAAACCGUGUACGUACAAGCAGUGGGAGCACCUUCGGGUGUGACUGCGUACCUUUUGUAUAAUGGGUCAGCGACUUAUAUUCUGUAGCAAGGUUAACCGUAUAGGGGAGCCGCAGGGAAACCGAGUCUUAACUGGGCGUUAAGUUGCAGGGUAUAGACCCGAAACCCGGUGAUCUAGCCAUGGGCAGGUUGAAGGUUGGGUAACACUAACUGGAGGACCGAACCGACUAAUGUUGAAAAAUUAGCGGAUGACUUGUGGCUGGGGGUGAAAGGCCAAUCAAACCGGGAGAUAGCUGGUUCUCCCCGAAAGCUAUUUAGGUAGCGCCUCGUGAACUCAUCUUCGGGGGUAGAGCACUGUUUCGGCUAGGGGGUCAUCCCGACUUACCAACCCGAUGCAAACUACGAAUACCGAAGAAUGUUAUCACGGGAGACACACGGCGGGUGCUAACGUCCGUCGUGAAGAGGGAAACAACCCAGACCGCCAGCUAAGGUCCCAAAGUCAUGGUUAAGUGGGAAACGAUGUGGGAAGGCACAGACAGCCAGGAUGUUGGCUUAGAAGCAGCCAUCAUUUAAAGAAAGCGUAAUAGCUCACUGGUCGAGUCGGCCUGCGCGGAAGAUGUAACGGGGCUAAACCAUGCACCGAAGCUGCGGCAGCGACACUAUGUGUUGUUGGGUAGGGGAGCGUUCUGUAAGCCUGCGAAGGUGUGCUGUGAGGCAUGCUGGAGGUAUCAGAAGUGCGAAUGCUGACAUAAGUAACGAUAAAGCGGGUGAAAAGCCCGCUCGCCGGAAGACCAAGGGUUCCUGUCCAACGUUAAUCGGGGCAGGGUGAGUCGACCCCUAAGGCGAGGCCGAAAGGCGUAGUCGAUGGGAAACAGGUUAAUAUUCCUGUACUUGGUGUUACUGCGAAGGGGGGACGGAGAAGGCUAUGUUAGCCGGGCGACGGUUGUCCCGGUUUAAGCAUGUAGGCUGAUUGUCCAGGCAAAUCCGGAUAAUCAAGGCUGAGGUGUGAUGACGAGGCACUACGGUGCUGAAGUAACAAAUGCCCUGCUUCCAGGAAAAGCCUCUAAGCAUCAGGUAACAUUAAAUCGUACCCCAAACCGACACAGGUGGUCAGGUAGAGAAUACCAAGGCGCUUGAGAGAACUCGGGUGAAGGAACUAGGCAAAAUGGUGCCGUAACUUCGGGAGAAGGCACGCUGGUGUGUAGGUGAAGUCCCUGCGGAUGGAGCUGAGACCAGUCGAAGAUACCAGCUGGCUGCAACUGUUUAUUAAAAACACAGCACUGUGCAAACACGAAAGUGGACGUAUACGGUGUGACGCCUGCCCGGUGCCGGAAGGUUAAUUGAUGGGGUUAUCCGUAAGGAGAAGCUCUUGAUCGAAGCCCCGGUAAACGGCGGCCGUAACUAUAACGGUCCUAAGGUAGCGAAAUUCCUUGUCGGGUAAGUUCCGACCUGCACGAAUGGCGUAAUGAUGGCCAGGCUGUCUCCACCCGAGACUCAGUGAAAUUGAACUCGCUGUGAAGAUGCAGUGUACCCGCGGCAAGACGGAAAGACCCCGUGAACCUUUACUAUAGCUUGACACUGAACAUUGAGCCUUGAUGUGUAGGAUAGGUGGGAGGCUUUGAAGCGUGGACGCCAGUCUGCGUGGAGCCAACCUUGAAAUACCACCCUUUAAUGUUUGAUGUUCUAACGUUGGCCCCUGACCGGGGUUGCGGACAGUGUCUGGUGGGUAGUUUGACUGGGGCGGUCUCCUCCCAAAGCGUAACGGAGGAGCACGAAGGUUAGCUAAUCCUGGUCGGACAUCAGGAGGUUAGUGCAAUGGCAUAAGCUAGCUUGACUGCGAGCGUGACGGCGCGAGCAGGUGCGAAAGCAGGUCAUAGUGAUCCGGUGGUUCUGAAUGGAAGGGCCAUCGCUCAACGGAUAAAAGGUACUCCGGGGAUAACAGGCUGAUACCGCCCAAGAGUUCAUAUCGACGGCGGUGUUUGGCACCUCGAUGUCGGCUCAUCACAUCCUGGGGCUGAAGUAGGUCCCAAGGGUAUGGCUGUUCGCCAUUUAAAGUGGUACGCGAGCUGGGUUUAGAACGUCGUGAGACAGUUCGGUCCCUAUCUGCCGUGGGCGCUGGAGAAUUGAGGGGGGCUGCUCCUAGUACGAGAGGACCGGAGUGGACGCAUCACUGGUGUUCGGGUUGUCAUGCCAAUGGCACUGCCCGGUAGCUAAAUGCGGAAGAGAUAAGUGCUGAAAGCAUCUAAGCACGAAACUUGCCCCGAGAUGAGUUCUCCCUGAGACUUUAAGUCUCCUGAAGGAACGUUAAAGACGAUGACGUUGAUAGGCCGGGUGUGUAAGCGCAGCGAUGCGUUGAGCUAACCGGUACUAAUGAACCGUGAGGCUUAACC